AUCUUACCGCAUGACAUCCCAAUGCCAUGGGGGGAGGGAUAGAAGAGAGGCUCAGCCCGUCAACUGAUCCUGGAAGUCAGAAAGAUUUUAAUUUGCCUAGUUACUUCAGGCAAUUAAUCCACAACUACCCAAAGCAGCGAUAGUGAGAAGCCCACUUCCAGCAUCCGUUUCCCACGCAGGGAAGGACGGACGGAUGGACAGACGGAUGCCGCUCGAUGCCUUGCCCGCCAGGGGAAGGGGAGAACGACCGGGCAGGGAGCCCCACCGCAGCCCCCGUCCCGGGAGUCCUGCACAGCAGUUUAAUAAAGUUUGCUUUCUGGCC
Molecule: long non-coding RNA, 322 nt
Organism: Cygnus olor (mute swan)
Lineage: Eukaryota; Metazoa; Chordata; Aves; Anseriformes; Anatidae
Exons: 2
Source: RefSeq, a predicted model, not a curated record